This 73-nucleotide transfer RNA is filed under the name Bos taurus (domestic cattle). It matches the Rfam family "tRNA". Rfam says of the family: Transfer RNA (tRNA) molecules are approximately 80 nucleotides in length. Their secondary structure includes four short double-helical elements and three loops (D, anti-codon, and T loops). The record is from Rfam by way of RNAcentral. RNAcentral also lists the same sequence under 1 other name. Lineage: Eukaryota; Metazoa; Chordata; Mammalia; Artiodactyla; Bovidae.
UCCCUGGUGGUCCAGUGGCUAAGACUCUGUGUUCCCAAUGCAGGGGGCCUGGGUUCAAUCCCCGAUCAGGGAA